RNAcentral lists this ribosomal RNA (1707 nucleotides) under metagenome. Its description in RNAcentral is "bacterial LSU rRNA". It matches the Rfam family "Bacterial large subunit ribosomal RNA", at positions 176 to 1980 of the family's 2925-position model. The record is from RNAcentral.
CGAGGGAACCGCCUGAACUGAAACAUCUAAGUAGGGCGAGGAAGAGACAUCAAACGAGAUUCCGUAAGUAGUGGCGAGCGAACGCGGAAGAGGGCAAACCGUGAGUAGAAAUACUUGCGGGGUACGGACUGCUUUUAGGACUUAAUCUGUUAACCGAACGGCAUGGGAAGGCCGGUCAGAGAGUGUGAGAACCACGUAGGUGAAAACGGAGAGAGCUGCGCAGGAUCCAGAGUACGGCCAGACACGUGAAACCUGGUCGGAAUACGGGGGGACCACCCUCCAACCCUAAAUACUACCCAGUGACCGAUAGCGUAUAGUACUGUGAAGGAAAGGUGAAAAGCACCCCGGGAGGGGAGUGAAAUAGAACCUGAAACCCUGUGCCUACAAGCACCUAGAGCACGUCAAUGUGUGAUAGGGUACUUUUUGUAGAACGGUCCGGCGAGCGAUUGUAUGCAGCAAGGUUAAGGUCUUCAGGACUGGAGCCGAAGCGAAAGCGAGUUUGAAAAGGGCGUUAAGUUGCAUACAAUGGGCCCGAAACCGGGUGACCUACCCAUGGUCAGGUUGAAGUGGAAGUAAAAUUCCAUGGAGGACCGAACCGACCUCCGUUGAAAAGGCGGCGGAUGAACUGUGGGUAGCGGAGAAAUUCCAAUCGAACCCGGAGAUAGCUGGUUCUCCCCGAAAUAGUUUUAGGACUAGCCUCAACUUAGAUAUCUGGAGGUAAAGCACUGAAUAGCCUAGCGGCCGAGAGGUUAGCGAAGCUUAUCAAACUCAGAAUGCCAGAAUAUUGAUGGUUGGGAGUCAGACAGUGUCAGAUAAAUGUCAUUGUCAAAAGGGAAACAGCCCAGAUCUACAGCUAAGGUCCCAAAGUCAGGUUAAGUGGAAAACGAUGUGGAGAUACGCAGACAACCAGGAUGUUGGCUCAGAAGCAGCCACUCAUUCAAAGAGUGCGUAAUAGCUCACUGGUCGAGCGUCUCUGCGCGGAGAAUUUAACGGGGCUAAACCUGACACCGAAGCUUAGGCAAUGUAGUAAUACAUUGGGUAGGGGAGCGUUGUAUACGCGGUGAAACAGUAGCGCAAGCGGCUGUGGAGUGUAUAGAAGUGAGAAUGCCGGAAUGAGUAGCGCGAAUGCAGUGAGAAUCUGCAUGGCCGAAAGCCUCAGGUUUUUGGAGGAAGGUUCGUCCGCUCCAAGUUAGUCGGGAGCUAAGGUGAGGCCGGAAGGCGUAGCCGAUGCACAGACGGUAGAGAUUCCGUCACCACCAAAAGAGUUAAGCACAGGGACACAUAAGAAGUCUCAGAGCCGGGUGUUGGUUCCGGUAGAGAUCGAGGGAAAAUAGUACCGAAGUCUGGGAUGGAAGAUGGCGAGAAAAGCUGUGUGGAUUUCUGAGGUGCCCGUACCGCAAACCGACACAGGUAGGUAGGAAGAAGAUUCUAAGGCCAACGGGAGAAGGGUUGUUAAGGAACUCGGCAAAUUGACCCCGUAACUUCGGGAGAAGGGGUGCUCCAGCGAUGGAGCCGCAGAGAAUCGGCCCAAGCAACUGUUUACCAAAAACACAGGUUUGUGCUAAAUCGAAAGAUGACGUAUACGAGCUGACGCCUGCCCGGUGCUGGAAGGUUAAGAGGAGAUGUGCAAGCAUUGAAUCGAAGCCCCAGUGAACGGCGGCCGUAACUAUAACGGUCCUAAGGUAGCGAAAUUCCUUGUCAGGUAAG